CACGUAGGGCGCAAGCGUUGUCCGGAAUUAUUGGGCGUAAAGAGCUCGUAGGCGGUCUGUUGCGUCCGCUGUGAAAACUCGGGGCUUAACCCCGAGCCUGCAGUGGAUACGGGCAGACUAGAGGUAGGUAGGGGAGAAUGGAAUUCCCGGUGUAGCGGUGAAAUGCGCAGAUAUCGGGAGGAACACCUGCGGUGUAGACGGUUUACUGGACCAUAACUGACGCUGAGGCACGAAAGCGUGGGUAGCAAACAGG
RNAcentral lists this ribosomal RNA (253 nucleotides) under uncultured bacterium. Its description in RNAcentral is "partial 16S ribosomal RNA". It matches the Rfam family "Bacterial small subunit ribosomal RNA", at positions 524 to 776 of the family's 1533-position model. The record is from RNAcentral.